Long non-coding RNA from Lycium ferocissimum, 673 nucleotides. RefSeq lists it as uncharacterized. The transcript has 2 exons. The record is from RefSeq and is a predicted model, not a curated record. NCBI's taxonomy places the organism in Eukaryota, Viridiplantae, Streptophyta, Magnoliopsida, Solanales, Solanaceae.
UAGUUUCAAGACUUAUUAGUCACCACAAGUUAAUUCCUCUCGUUUAGUCAUUUCUUUAGUAAUGCUCACUGCACAGCAAUUCAAGAUUUAGAAUUUCUUCAAAUUGAGUGAAGAUUUUGGGUGGGUCUCAUUUAGAUUGGCUUUAAUUUUCAUGUAUACAUUGAAUUCUCCAUGAAACCAUAAGCUCCUUCCCUCUAGUUUCAGUUGUUUCUAUUUCAGGGUUUCGUCGCUCUAAUGCAUGUGGUUUUCAGAUCCCUUUUCUUCAGUUUGAACUGAUUACUUAACUUUCGUUCUGGUAUAAAUGAUCUUCUUUAAAGGUCGAUGUAUCUGCAUAUUUCAUUCUCGUUUCUUAGUUUCUUAAAAGAAUGAAAGCUUCCUAAAGGCAUAAUUGACUAAAAAAGCUAUCUUGUCAUAGAUCUGUUUCCUUUUCAUCUUCAUCUCUGUUUAUACUUGGUCACAAGUUUUAUUGCUUUAAAUUGAGAAUUAAUGGUGCUGCUGGAAAAGUUAAUUUUAACUUUAAAUUUGGAAUAAAACUUUGGUUGAUGUGAUUCUGUUUUUUCUGCUGAAAAUUGAUCUUUUUGGUGGAUUUCUAUUUUCUCUUGUGGUUUUACCUUCCUAUGUUGAAAUGUAGCUAAUGUUCUUGGACAUAACAAACUAUGAGGGGCUUGCUGGC